AUAAAGCCUUUUGAAAUAGUGGAGGUGAGUGUUUGAGAAUACGAGCCUUAAUUAGAUAGUUUUUUUUCUUUUCUUUUAUCUCUUUUUUUUUUUAUUGGUGAUGUGGUAGUGUUAAAUCGCAGCUCAAGAUUUCAAAAGCACCCUUGGAAAUUCUCGUCACUUGCACUAACAGGAGUCUGGUAAAUGUAAGAAAUAGCGGUAUCAUGUUUGCUGGAGCGUGAGUAUUGGUUUGUCCUAUAGAGCAAAAAGAUAAGAAAGGCACCAAUGAUAUGCCCAAUGAUGCGUGUUUAUAAGUAUCGCAAAGACCAGUCAUACGGAAAAGAAGAAAAUAACACAAUGAAGAAAAACAAAAGAAAAACAAGUAGAAGAUAGAAGAGAGAGGUGAUUUUACACGAGUAUCAUGAAGAAGUAAAGUGGAGUAAAGUAAAGCAGGAAAGUAAAGUAAAGGAAGAGAAGAAGAAAGGUGAGUGUGAAGACAACUAGGGGUUAAACUAUCAGCUUGUUACUUUAAAGGUAACGAGGCCAGAAACUAUCGGGGUAUUUUGGAACUAUCUUCUUGCUUAUUGGUCAUUUUGUUGGAACUAUCUCUUUGCUUCACAUUUCGGAUCUUCGAGGUACCGUCUCCUGCGCUGAAUUCCGGCUUCCGACCUGACGCCUGGGCGACGAGACCGAGGGAAGGCAGAUUCUCCUGAGCUCUGGCUGAGUCAACACUACCUAGACUCGCCUCUGCCUCCAAAAGUAUUCUCCCGUGAAGCCCUGCUCACCGCUCGCUUUGGGGACCUGAGCCAGUCUCCUGGGAGCCGUGUGUAGCCAGCCUGAGUCCAGACCAGCCUAUGGAUGAACCACCAUACUACUCUGGCUUGCUGGUGGUUCUGCAUCCACCUCCUGUUUCAAUCCUGGUCACCGCUGGAUACCGUUCUGCCUACUCUUCACCCCUACACCCUGCUCCAUUCCUCGUCCUCUCCUUGGGAUCCUGUACCCGUGUGCUGCUCCCGGGACGGCCGUGUGUUAAGUGGAUGGGCGUGGUACCAGCGCUAGAGCAACAACCUCUCUAAGUGGCGACGAACGUCCAUAUAGUUAGUGUGUUGGAGUGCUUUCAUUUUUUCAUUACUCUGUUUAUUCCUCUGCAGCUCUGGGAGGGAAGGCCACAUCCCUGGUUUUUAGUGGAAGAAGGCAGUGUUAUUUCCAUCUGUCGAGUUACCUGCCUCGAGCAUUCACUAGUGGCGACCUCGCCAAGACUGUGCCUUCUCGACCCUCUGUUGUGGAGUAUGUAGUGCUAACGGUCAUCGUUGGGGGACAGGUAGUGUUACCUUCCCCGGCGCAUUAUCAAAGGCUCGGAAGUGAGUAUUUUUGACUGUUGGUUUGUGAGGGCUUGUUUCUAAUCACUUGCGUCUUUAAGGACUCCGGUUGAGUCCUUUAUGUUGUCAGGUGCGGAGUUUUUCCUGUGACGUCAUGUAUUUUUCUCUAUUGCUUCCUUGGGCGUCCUUUAUUCACGGAUUAUUGUUUCCUUUGUGUUCAUGUCUCCUAUCAAGGAGCUAGUUGAGUUGGGAAGAGAUGGGACUCGGGAGUGACGAGCUACGUGAGUCUUGUUUCUACUCGGCAACCGUUGCAACGAGACGAAAGAGGGUGAAGAGAGGAAAGAAGGAAAGGAAAUCGAACAUGCCCUUGCCAUGUCCGAAUUAAAGCUGUCACUGCAAGAACAAGGAACAAACCGAGAUCCAGUGAUCUUGCCUGGGGAUUGUGGGACUGUUCCCCGACGUUCUCUACUAGUCUAUCAAGACGAUCUGACCUCCUAAUUCACACGCUUUGAACUUAUUGCUGCCGUGCUCAACAUUAAUCAGGACAACUAUGCCAUUCGACUGGGUGGUCUUCUCUCUGGUAAGCUAGCAGAAAUCUACACUACCUUGGCUGAUGACUUAAUUUGUGACUAGCCUAAACUUAAAUCCUCUCUCCUAAGAAGUUUCAGUCUCAGAUCUUUUGUAAUUAUGGACUAGUUUCUUGCCUCUAUUUCUCCAGAUAUAAGAACCUUCUUGAAAGAAAACGACGUGUAGACCUUGGACGACGCUGUCAAACUUGCAGAUAUUUGGGCAGCUGCCCAUUGUGCUUACCCGAGACACACCCAGCUGGACGAAGCCGUCACCUACAUCUCCAACUACCACCAACCAAGCUUCUCGCCGAUCUCCUCCACCGGCCAGGAAGUCUUCGACACCCGUCAGGUGUCACAAUUGUGGGGAGCCAGGACACGUUCGACCUCGAUGUCUCUAAAAUCCAGCUUUGUUCAGGACUGGUAGCACUCCUCAACCAGACACACAUAAGGUGGGUUUCUGCUUGUGAUCCUACUACUGAUCUCUACUUUUCUUCUGGCACCAUCAAUGGAGCGAGAGUAUCUACCAUCAUAAGUGACACUGGCUGUUCCUGUGUCCUUGUAUCUGAGGAAGCCUUACCCGAUGUAGACUCUCCCAGUGUCCUAAAGUUCUUGUUUCUGACUAUUUAGGAAGAGUGGACUCCUUCACUCAGAUACGAUGCUACCUUCGCUGUCCCUUCUACGAAGGUUAUGUUGAUGCUGUUCGUGCUCCAAUCAAGUUCUGUAGUGUUCUGGUUGGUAAUGUGGAAGGAGUGAGCACACCAGACCAUAACAUGAAAAAGGCUUGUCUGCCUCGGCAUUGGUCACGUUCCUGAGAAGGUUGAAGUUGAAACCCGGAGCCGCGCGGCACGAAGAAUUCAUCCCCUUGUGCUACCAGAACUCCAACCUAUUAACGUUACUUCCCGGGAAUUUUCUCGCCUGCAGAAUUUGUUCCUCCCUUCAGGCUCUCCGUCGUAAGGCAUCAACUGGUGAAGAAGAGGUACCUCGCAGUGGUUCGAAGUUUUCCUACGAGUUUUCUGAUGAACUACUCUACCGAGUGUGCCGUUCUUCUAGCAACCAAGAACAAGAAUUUGUUCCUCCCUUCAGGCUCUCCGUCGUAAGGCAUCAACUGGUGAAGAAGAGGUACCUCGCAGUGGUUCGAAGUUUUCCUAAGAGUUUUCUGAUGAACUACUCUACUGAGUGUGCCUUUCUUCUAGCAACCAAGAACAAGUGGGAAAGAAGACUGGUCAUCCCUGCUGAGUGUCGUUGGUGCUGUUUCUGCCCAUGAGGGCCCAGUGUCAGGACAUUUCUCCUACAAGAAGGCUAGAGGGUGCACGAGGCAGCGGACGAUCCUACUCACGUGACCACCACCACCACCACCGUAGUCGUCGCCGCCACCACCACCACCACCACCACCACCAGCGCCAUCCCUAUCUACAUUUCUUGUUUUCAUGUAAAGGAGAAAACUGGCUAUGGACAAUAAAAAUAUCUAUAAAAGUCA
Portunus trituberculatus (swimming crab) is the source of this 3344-nucleotide long non-coding RNA. RefSeq lists it as uncharacterized. Lineage: Eukaryota; Metazoa; Arthropoda; Malacostraca; Decapoda; Portunidae. The record is from RefSeq and is a predicted model, not a curated record. The transcript has 2 exons.